GAUGAACGCUGGCGGCGUGCCUAAUACAUGCAAGUCGAGCGAACAGACGAGGAGCUUGCUCCUCUGACGUUAGCGGCGGACGGGUGAGUAACACGUGGAUAACCUACCUAUAAGACUGGGAUAACUUCGGGAAACCGGAGCUAAUACCGGAUAAUAUAUUGAACCGCAUGGUUCAAUAGUGAAAGACGGUUUUGCUGUCACUUAUAGAUGGAUCCGCGCCGCAUUAGCUAGUUGGUAAGGUAACGGCUUACCAAGGCGACGAUGCGUAGCCGACCUGAGAGGGUGAUCGGCCACACUGGAACUGAGACACGGUCCAGACUCCUACGGGAGGCAGCAGUAGGGAAUCUUCCGCAAUGGGCGAAAGCCUUACGGAGCAACGCCGCGUGAGUGAUGAAGAUCUUCGGAUCGUAAAACUCUGUUAUUAGGGAAGAACAAAUGUGUAAGUAACUAUGCACGUCUUGACGGUACCUAAUCAGAAAGCCACGGCUAACUACGUG
Molecule: ribosomal RNA, 497 nt
Filed under: uncultured bacterium
Lineage: Bacteria
Description: partial 16S ribosomal RNA
Rfam family: Bacterial small subunit ribosomal RNA
Source: RNAcentral